UACUGAGUUAUUAAAACUCCAAACCCUUUGUGAACCUUACUGUCGUUGCCUCGGCGUGAGCUACGGCUACCCUGUAGUUACCCUAUAGCUACCCUGCAGCUACCCUAUAGUUGACCAGUAGCUACCCCGUAGUUACCCUAUAGCUACCCUGCAGCUACCCUAUAGUUGACAUGUAGCUACCCUGUAGCCGGCUUAUGGCCCGCCGAAGGACCGCUAAACUCUUGUUUUUUUUACCACUGUUUCUCUGAAUUGUAAACUUAAAUAAGUUAAAACUUUCAACAACGGAUCUCUUGGUUCUGGCAUCGAUGAAGAACGCAGCGAAAUGCGAUAAGUAAUGUGAAUUGCAGAAUUCAGUGAAUCAUCGAAUCUUUGAACGCACAUUGCGCCCAUUAGUAUUCUAGUGGGCAUGCCUAUUCGAGCGUCAUUUCGACCCUUAAGCCCCUGUUGCUUAGCGUUGGGAAUCUACAGCGUAGUUCCUUAAAGUUAGUGGCGGAGUUAGGGUACACUCUCAGCGUAGUAAUCUUUCUCGCUCGUGUGGUGGCCCUGGCUGCUAGCCGUUAAACCCCUAUAUUUUCUAGUGGUUGACCUCGGAUUAGGUAGGAAUACCCGCUGAACUUAAGCAUAUCAAUAA
RNAcentral lists this ribosomal RNA (631 nucleotides) under Hypoxylon investiens. RNAcentral describes it as "eukaryotic LSU rRNA". The stretch from base 271 to 424 matches the Rfam family "5.8S ribosomal RNA". Lineage: Eukaryota; Fungi; Ascomycota; Sordariomycetes; Xylariales; Hypoxylaceae. The record is from RNAcentral.